UCGCUCAAAGAUUAAGCCAUGCAUGUUUUAAGUAUUAAAAUAACUUUUAUAUUGUGAAACUGCGAAUGGCUCAUUAAAUCAGUUAUGAUCUACGUGACAAAUUCUUUACUACUUGGAUAACCGUGGUAAUUCUAGAGCUAAUACAUGCAAAAAAGCCCUGACUUACGAAGGGGUGCACUUAUUAGAUAAAACCAACGCGGGGUAAAACCUGUUUCUUGGUGAAUCAUAAUAAUUAAGCGGAUCGCAUAGCCUUGUGCUGGCGACGGUCCACUCGAUUUUCUGCCCUAUCAUGGUUGAGAUUGUAAGAUAGAGGCUUACAAUGCCUACAACGGGUAACGGGGAAUUAGGGUUCGAUUCCGGAGAGGGAGCCUGAGAAACGGCUACCACAUCCAAGGAAGGCAGCAGGCGCGCAAAUUACCCAAUCCCGACACGGGGAGGUAGUGACAAUACAUAACAAUGCAGGGCCUUUAAGGUCUUGCAAUUGGAAUGAGUACAAUUUAAAUCCCUUAACGAGGAUCAAUUGGAGGGCAAGUCUGGUGCCAGCAGCCGCGGUAAUUCCAGCUCCAAUAGCGUAUAUUAAAGUUGUUGCAGUUAAAACGUCCGUAGUCAAACUUUAGUCUUACUGGCGUAGUGGCCUGGUCUUCAUUGACCAAGCUCAUUGCUGCCGGAGACUCCAUGUUCAUUAGGGGAAAAUCUCUAGGGGUUUUUUUCUUAUUUGAACAAUUACCAUGAGCAAAUCAGAGUGUUUAAAGCAGGCUUUUAAGCUUGAAUGUGUUAGCAUGGAAUAAUGAAAUAUGACUUUAGUCCUAUUUUCGUUGGUUUAGGUACUUCAGUAAUGAUGAAUAGAAACGGUUAGGGGCAUUUGUAUUUGGUCGCUAGAGGUGAAAUUCUUGGAUUGACCGAAGACAAACUACUGCGAAAGCAUUUGACCCGGGACGUUUUCAUUGAUCAAGGUCUAAAGUUAAGGGAUCGAAGACGAUUAGAUACCGUCGUAGUCUUAACCACAAACUAUGCCGACUAGAGAUUGGGCGUGUUUAUUAUGACUCGCUCAGCAUCUUAGCGAAAGUAAAGUUU
Molecule: ribosomal RNA, 1074 nt
Filed under: Rhizopus stolonifer
Lineage: Eukaryota; Fungi; Mucoromycota; Mucoromycetes; Mucorales; Rhizopodaceae
Description: SSU rRNA
Rfam family: Eukaryotic small subunit ribosomal RNA
Source: RNAcentral